This 63-nucleotide transfer RNA is filed under the name Omalisus fontisbellaquei. RNAcentral describes it as "tRNA-Pro". The record is from RNAcentral. Lineage: Eukaryota; Metazoa; Arthropoda; Insecta; Coleoptera; Omalisidae.
CAGAGAAUAGUUUAUAAAAAUUUUAGUUUUGGAGACUAAAGAUAGGAGUUUUCUUUUCUCUGA